UGCCAGCCGCCGCGGUAAUACGGAGGGUCCAAGCGUUAUCCGGAAUCAUUGGGUUUAAAGGGUCCGUAGGCGGGCGAUUAAGUCAGAGGUGAAAUCCCACAGCUCAACUGUGGAACUGCCUUUGAUACUGGUUGUCUUGAGUUACAGUGAAGUAGAUAGAAUAUGUAGUGUAGCGGUGAAAUGCAUAGAUAUUACAUAGAAUACCGAUUGCGAAGGCAGUCUACUAACUGUUAACUGACGCUAAGGGACGAAAGCGUGGGGAGCGAACAGGAUUAGAUA
This 279-nucleotide ribosomal RNA is filed under the name uncultured bacterium. RNAcentral's name for it is "partial 16S ribosomal RNA". It matches the Rfam family "Bacterial small subunit ribosomal RNA", at positions 506 to 784 of the family's 1533-position model. The record is from RNAcentral.